CCUACGGGCGGCAGCAGUGGGGAAUAUUGGGCAAUGGGCGCAAGCCUGACCCAGCAACGCCGCGUGAAGGAAGAAGGCUUUCGGGUUGUAAACUUCUUUUGUCAGGGAAGAGUAGAAGACGGUACCUGACGAAUAAGCCACGGCUAACUACGUGCCAGCAGCCGCGGUAAUACGUAGGUGGCAAGCGUUGUCCGGAUUUACUGGGUGUAAAGGGCGUGUAGCCGGGUUGACAAGUCAGAUGUGAAAUCCUGCGGCUUAACCGCAGAACUGCAUUUGAAACUGUUGAUCUUGAGUACUGGAGAGGCAGACGGAAUUCCUAGUGUAGCGGUGAAAUGCGUAGAUAUUCGGAGGAACACCGGUGGCGAAGGCGGCCAACUGGGCUUUAACUGACGCUGAGGCUCGAAAGUGUGGGGAGCAAACAGGAUUAGAUACCCCGGUAGUC
RNAcentral lists this ribosomal RNA (442 nucleotides) under uncultured bacterium. Its description in RNAcentral is "partial 16S ribosomal RNA". It matches the Rfam family "Bacterial small subunit ribosomal RNA", at positions 338 to 795 of the family's 1533-position model. The record is from RNAcentral.